GUCGUCAGAAGAUCUCAAUUAAUUGGCCGCUGACCUCUUAAUUUGAAGGCCGACCACCCCUUUAUGCCAUCGAUAGGAAGAGGGAACCAUUGAUUUGCCAAGAUUUGAUGGUUCCAUCAUCAUCCUCGGUGAUUGCCCCCCCUUCCCUUCCUGUGCGAUUGUCCCAAAAACUUGAUGUCGGCCCAGAUGGUCGCUAGCAUUAGGUCUUAAAGGGACAUAAUCCUUUUUUUUUAAUAGGAUGGAAGAUCGGGAUGCAGGAGGAGAGGUCUCUGAUGCCUUGGCUCCAGGGACUAGCCAUUGGCCCAUUCCGAUGACUAUCGGAGGAAGACUAGAGGUUCGACCAUUGAGA
This 349-nucleotide long non-coding RNA is filed under the name Elaeis guineensis (African oil palm). Its description in RNAcentral is "long non-coding RNA (EGUI_LNC019182)". Lineage: Eukaryota; Viridiplantae; Streptophyta; Magnoliopsida; Arecales; Arecaceae. The record is from RNAcentral.